GAUGAACGCUGGCGGCGUGCCUAAUACAUGCAAGUCGAGCGAACAGACGAGGAGCUUGCUCCUCUGACGUUAGCGGCGGACGGGUGAGUAACACGUGGAUAACCUACCUAUAAGACUGGGAUAACUUCGGGAAACCGGAGCUAAUACCGGAUAAUAUAUUGAACCGCAUGGUUCAAUAGUGAAAGACGGUUUUGCUGUCACUUAUAGAUGGAUCCGCGCCGCAUUAGCUAGUUGGUAAGGUAACGGCUUACCAAGGCAACGAUGCGUAGCCGACCUGAGAGGGUGAUCGGCCUCACUGGAACUGAGACACGGUCCAGACUCCUACGGGAGGCAGCAGUAGGGAAUCUUCCGCAAUGGGCGAAAGCCUGACGGAGCAACGCCGCGUGAGUGAUGAAGGUCUUCGGAUCGUAAAACUCUGUUAUUAGGGAAGAACAAAUGAGUAAGUAACUAUGCACGUCUUGACGGUACCUAAUCAGAAAGCCACGGCUAACUACGUG
This 497-nucleotide ribosomal RNA is filed under the name uncultured bacterium. Its description in RNAcentral is "partial 16S ribosomal RNA". It matches the Rfam family "Bacterial small subunit ribosomal RNA", at positions 28 to 507 of the family's 1533-position model. The record is from RNAcentral.